UACGGGGGGUGCGAGCGUUAAUCGGAAUGACUGGGCGUAAAGGGUGCGUAGGUGGUAUAUUAAGUUAUCUGUGAAAUCCCUGGGCUUAACCUAGGAGCGAGAGAUAAUACUGGUAGGCUAGAGUAUAGGAGAGGGCAGUGGAAUUUCCGGUGUAGCGGUGAAAUGCGUAGAGAUCGGAAGGAACACCAGUGGCGAAGGCGGCUGUCUGGCCUAAUACUGACACUGAGGCACGAAAGCAUGGGGAGCAAACAGG
RNAcentral lists this ribosomal RNA (253 nucleotides) under uncultured bacterium. RNAcentral's name for it is "partial 16S ribosomal RNA". It matches the Rfam family "Bacterial small subunit ribosomal RNA", at positions 524 to 776 of the family's 1533-position model. The record is from RNAcentral.